This 1469-nucleotide unclassified non-coding RNA is filed under the name Hevea brasiliensis (rubber tree). Lineage: Eukaryota; Viridiplantae; Streptophyta; Magnoliopsida; Malpighiales; Euphorbiaceae. The record is from RNAcentral.
GGGAAGCCGUGAAUAGUUGGCUUUUAUACCAACUGUUACGAAGCAAGAUUCUGAAUUGUCCCAAAGCACCAAAACUGAAGAAGGAUGCAGAAAGGAAGAAGGAAGAAGAUUAGUACGGAAGAACAGAAGAAAGAAGCUUCGAGAAGAAGAGAAACAGAAAAAGAGAGGAAGAGAAGAGAGAUAUGAAAGGAAAUUAGGGAGAGAAAGAGUUCUGUUAUUAUUCAAUAGGUCAAUCCCCUGCACAAUUACAAUAUGUUCAACAUUUAUAUCCUUUCUCUCCAAUUCUCUUUCUUUAUUUUCAGUUACAGCCAGCACUAACUGACUAACAGAUCACAGCUAACUUCCCUCAGCUAACUAAUUAACUCCAUAACUUCAGCUCAACUACCACAUUCACAACACAAUACUCUGACAAACACAGGUCAGAAAGGGAAUUUUCAGUUGGGGAUUAGGCAUACUUGAAACUACAGCCCUACAGGUAGAACAGUGUAUCUCUACAAAGUUCUCUCAAGCUUGCAGCUAAAUAUUAUAGUCCAUUCCAAGUAAUUGAAAAGAUAGGAUCAGUAGCUUAUAAGCUACAAUUUCCAUCAGUCUGCCUCAUUCAUCAAGUUUUUCAAGUCUCUAUUCUUAAGAAGAAGAUUGAGGAGCAAGUGGUGCCUUUAACCAAAUCACCAGUGCUACCAAUAAAAAAGAAAGGUGUGUGAUCUGAAAAGGUUCUCAACGAAAGAACCAUCCUAAGGAAUGAUGGACACAUUCCUGAAUUGCUUAUUAAAGGUGCAAUUUACCUGCUGUUGACUCUGUACUGGGAGGACUUAACCUCCAUCCAGUCACAAUUACCCAAAAUUUUUUCAUUCUUGGGGACAAUAAUGUGCUCAAUGGGGGAGGAGUUGUUAAGUAUCACAUAAGAAAGAGGGCAAAUAUGUAAAUGGUCAUGAGGCAGAUAAGUAAAUGGUUCUAUCAUGAAUUUGUUAUUUCUUUUUACGUUUUCUAUGCACUGCUAGCUGUGAAUACAAAGUUUGUUAGAUCUAACAAACUCUGAAUCUACAAUAUAUAAAGCCACAUGUAAUCAGAAAGAAUUUAUUGAAUCUACAAUAGAAAAAUCUCGAUUCCUCUCUCACCUCUUAUUCUACUUUCUCUAAAUCCCUCUGGUACUCUACCUCUCAUCACCACUCUUUCCUUCUCCUCCUCAAUUUUUUGGACUGAAGGACAGUCCUAACAUCUAAAUAGCAAUACUAUUAAACAACAUGAUAGAUCCAGAUUGCGAAAAUGUUACAGCCAUUCACAUAAAGAAUACAGUGCAAAUCUGUAUAAACUAGGAUGGCAUUGAUUGUAUAAACUAGGAUGGCAUUGAUUGGCUUAUUUCCUUGAAAAAAAUAGCUCAUUAGAAUCAUGCAAUUAAUUUUGAAAAUUGCUUUGUCUUAAUUAGUAUAUGUAAGAAUUCAGGAGAGUUCUAUUUUUUUUUUUUUUCUAAA